UACACUGUGCUUAUAGAAAUAGUAGCUUGGAUUAGAGAAUUUCUCGUAUCAUGCUGAAAGAGGAAUCGAAGAAGCGAAUUGGGUCUAUGCGUACGUUAAUUUUCAUUAAAUAUUAAUAAAUAAAGUGGUAGAUGUUAUGUCUACAAUUUAGGUGGUACCACGGCAAAGUCGUCCUAUUC
This 179-nucleotide unclassified non-coding RNA is filed under the name Dellaglioa algida. Its description in RNAcentral is "Lactobacillus algidus T-box". Lineage: Bacteria; Bacillati; Bacillota; Bacilli; Lactobacillales; Lactobacillaceae. The record is from RNAcentral.